Long non-coding RNA from Aethalodelphis obliquidens (Pacific white-sided dolphin), 637 nucleotides. RefSeq lists it as uncharacterized. The record is from RefSeq and is a predicted model, not a curated record. The transcript has 3 exons. Lineage: Eukaryota; Metazoa; Chordata; Mammalia; Artiodactyla; Delphinidae.
GGUAUGGAUACCCCUGGGAAGUCACUGAAGGAUUUUUGGCAGAAACACUUACGGUAUUAAGAUGACACUUCUGGAAAGAUUGCUCUGGUGGUGCCCUACAGAAUGAAUUGGAGGACGGUCAGGUCAGAGGGGGCCAUUCCAAGAGUCCAGGAAAAGCUGCUUCUACUUCACUGGAUUUUCUGUUUCUCCGCUUUGACCUCACCCCCAUCUCCUGCCCCUCUCAGCUUCUUUGUGUCAGUGUCGCUUUCUGUCAGAUCACUGUCAGCGACCUGGGGAAAUGGGCAAACAAGGCCAGAGCGUGCUGCCCCUGAACCCGCUGGCGCCCGGGGAGGCCCCAGAGCGAGAGGCCGCACCCCGCCGUAAAGUGACUCAUCCAGCUCUCUGGGGACCCGUCAAAAGAGAGGAGGAGCCUUCCUGCCUGUGAAAUCGCCUCAAGAUCUCACUGAAGUGUGAUCCUAAGGGCAUGCCCCAGGAAACUUUCUGUACUCAAAUCUCCAACUCUGAGCCUGCUUCCCAGGAAGUCCUUUGUUUUCUAACCUACACUCCUGUUUUCUGAACAUAAAAGUCUCAUGCCGGGCUUCCCUGGUGGUGCAGUUGUUAAGAAUCUACCUGCCAACGCAGGGGGACACGCGUUCGA